AUUGAACGCUGGCGGAAGGCCUAACACAUGCAAGUCGAGCGAGCGGCGGACGGGUGAGUAAUGUCUGGGAAACUGCCUGAUGGAGGGGGAAAACUACUGGAAACGGUAGCUAAUACCGCAUACCAUCAGAAGUGCCUAAAAGGGAUUAGCUAGUAGGUGGUGUAACGGCUCACCUAGGCGACGAUCCUUAGCUGGUCUGAGAGGAUGACCAGCCACACUGGAACUAAGACACGGUCCAGACUCCUACGGGAAGCAGCAGUGGGGGAUAUUGCACAAUGGGCGCAAGCCUGAUGCAGCCAUGCCGCGUGUGUGAAGAAGGCCUUCGGGUUGUAAAGCACUUUCAGCGGGGAGGCGUUACCCGCAGAAGAAGCACCGGCUAACUCCGGGCCAGCAGCCGCGGUAAUUC
This 406-nucleotide ribosomal RNA is filed under the name uncultured bacterium. RNAcentral describes it as "partial 16S ribosomal RNA". It matches the Rfam family "Bacterial small subunit ribosomal RNA", at positions 30 to 526 of the family's 1533-position model. The record is from RNAcentral.